RNAcentral lists this ribosomal RNA (216 nucleotides) under Glomeromycotina sp. RNAcentral describes it as "partial small subunit ribosomal RNA". The stretch from base 75 to 216 matches the Rfam family "Eukaryotic small subunit ribosomal RNA", at positions 721 to 864 of the family's 1831-position model. The record is from RNAcentral. Lineage: Eukaryota; Fungi; Glomeromycota.
GGGUCAGUAGGUUGGUCGUGCCACCGGUACGUACUGGUCUCACUGACUCCUCCUUCCUGAAGAGCCGUAAUGCCAUUAAUUUGGUGUUGCGGGGAAACAGGACUGUUACUUUGAAAAAAUUAGAGUGUUUAAAGCAAGCUAACGCUUGAAUACAUUAGCAUGGAAUAAUGAAAUAGGACGAUCGAUCCUAUUUUGUUGGUUUCUAGGAUUGACGUA